AGUGAACGCUGGCGGUAGGCCUAACACAUGCAAGUCGAACGGCAGCACAGUAAGAGCUUGCUCUUACGGGUGGCGAGUGGCGGACGGGUGAGGAAUACAUCGGAAUCUACUUUUUCGUGGGGGAUAACGUAGGGAAACUUACGCUAAUACCGCAUACGACCUACGGGUGAAAGCAGGGGAUCUUCGGACCUUGCGCGAUUGAUUGAGCCGAUGUCGGAUUAGCUAGUUGGCGGGGUAAAGGCCCACCAAGGCGACGAUCCGUAGCUGGUCUGAGAGGAUGAUCAGCCACACUGGAACUGAGACACGGUCCAGACUCCUACGGGAGGCAGCAGUGGGGAAUAUUGGACAAUGGGCGCAAGCCUGAUCCAGCCAUACCGCGUGGGUGAAGAAGGCCUUCGGGUUGUAAAGCCCCUUUGUUGGGAAAGAAAAGCAGCAGGUUAAUACCCCGCUGUUCUGACGGUACCCAAAGAAUAAGCACCGGCUAACUUCGU
This 491-nucleotide ribosomal RNA is filed under the name uncultured bacterium. RNAcentral describes it as "partial 16S ribosomal RNA". It matches the Rfam family "Bacterial small subunit ribosomal RNA", at positions 29 to 506 of the family's 1533-position model. The record is from RNAcentral.